RNAcentral lists this ribosomal RNA (301 nucleotides) under uncultured bacterium. RNAcentral's name for it is "partial 16S ribosomal RNA". It matches the Rfam family "Bacterial small subunit ribosomal RNA", at positions 509 to 809 of the family's 1533-position model. The record is from RNAcentral.
CAGUAGCCACGGGAAUACAGAGGGUGCGAGCGUUAAUCGGAUUUACUGGGCGUAAAGCGUGCGUAGGCGGCUUCUUAAGUUGGAUGUGAAAUCCCUGAGCUUAACUUAGGAAUUGCAUUCGAUACUGGGAAGCUAGAGUAUGGGAGAGGAUGGUAGAAUUCCAGGUGUAGCGGUGAAAUGCGUAGAGAUCUGGAGGAAUACCGAUGGCGAAGGCAGCCAUCUGGCCUAAUACUGACGCUGAGGUACGAAAGCAUGGGGAGCAAACAGGAUUAGAUACCCCCGUAGUCCCUGUCUCUUAUAA